AAAACGACUCUCGGCAACGGAUAUCUCGGCUCUUGCAUCGAUGAAGAACGUAGCGAAAUGCGAUACUUGGUGUGAAUUGCAGAAUCCCGUGAACCAUCGAGUUUUUGAACGCAAGUUGCGCCCGAAGCCUUCGGGCUGAGGGCACGUCUGCCUGGGUGUCACGC
This 164-nucleotide ribosomal RNA is filed under the name Phyllanthus sikkimensis. Its description in RNAcentral is "5.8S ribosomal RNA". It matches the Rfam family "5.8S ribosomal RNA". Rfam says of the family: 5.8S ribosomal RNA (5.8S rRNA) is a component of the large subunit of the eukaryotic ribosome. It is transcribed by RNA polymerase I as part of the 45S precursor that also contains 18S and 28S rRNA. The record is from RNAcentral. Lineage: Eukaryota; Viridiplantae; Streptophyta; Magnoliopsida; Malpighiales; Phyllanthaceae.